This is a long non-coding RNA of Salarias fasciatus (jewelled blenny), 525 nucleotides long. RefSeq lists it as uncharacterized. The transcript is spliced from 5 exons. The record is from RefSeq and is a predicted model, not a curated record. Lineage: Eukaryota; Metazoa; Chordata; Actinopteri; Blenniiformes; Blenniidae.
CCUGGUCCUGAUCCACAUUUGAACUGCAUUCCUGAGCUCAGGGAUGGAUUCAGUAGCGUCACACACUUCCAGUAAUGUGGGGGUGUGAUUUAAUGUAAAGACAGAGGAGGAGGAGCAGCUGUGUUCAGGUGAUCCAGGUGAGGCAGUCCAGCCAGGAAACAGGAAGUGAAGGACCGAGAGAGUUCAGACUCCAACGGACAGACUGAGAGAGAAGGAGGAGCAGCACUGAAGAACAGUGUGUUUAAUUCCAGCUUCAGUAUUGUUGGAAUGGGGUGUGGAUCUGAGGCUGAAGCGCAGAAGAAGCAACGUGACUGAAGAUGAGUGGUGUGGAUGAAGAGGAGGACGGACCAGAGUGUGUGGACAGACACGCAGCAGGGUCAUCAGGAUCCAGCAGGUUGUCCAUGAAGAGUGACCUGUCCAAAGAUGAUCCACCAGUCUUCAGUGCUGAACCUGGACCUUCAGACACAAAAGAGAAGAAGAGGACUGAUGUGUGUGAGGAGCAGCCAGAAAGAUCCAGAAGCGCCG